This is a long non-coding RNA of Myzus persicae (green peach aphid), 269 nucleotides long. RefSeq lists it as uncharacterized. Lineage: Eukaryota; Metazoa; Arthropoda; Insecta; Hemiptera; Aphididae. The transcript has 3 exons. The record is from RefSeq and is a predicted model, not a curated record.
AGUAAUUUAAAAUUUAGUCUUGUAUGAAGAAUAUUAAAUUAUGAAGUGAAUAUGUUAAAGUAGUAAUUAUAAGUUUGUUGUACACUCUAUUCAAACCCUAAUUAUGUGUCCACCAAUUGGAUUUGCGGCGGCCAUUAUAGUAGUACGACAAGCUUCCAGUAAUGUAUUAUGAUCUUGAGUCAUUUUAUCAAAUUCAUCAAUACAACAAACACCUUGAUCAGCUAAAACAACAGCUCCAGCUUCUAAAGAAAAAUCAAUACCUUUCUCUC